RNAcentral lists this ribosomal RNA (1488 nucleotides) under metagenome. RNAcentral's name for it is "bacterial SSU rRNA". It matches the Rfam family "Bacterial small subunit ribosomal RNA". The record is from RNAcentral.
AGAGUUUGAUCCUGGCUCAGGAUGAACGCUGGCGGCGUGCUUAACACAUGCAAGUCGAACGGGAAACCUUUUAAAGAAGCUUCGGCAAAUUUAGCUGGUUUCUAGUGGCGGACGGGUGAGUAACGCGUGGGUAACCUGCCUUGUACAGGGGGAUAACAGUCAGAAAUGACUGCUAAUACCGCAUAAGCGCACAGGACCGCAUGGUCCAGUGUGAAAAACUCCGGUGGUAUAAGAUGGACCCGCGUUGGAUUAGCUGGUUGGUGGGGUAACGGCCUACCAAGGCGACGAUCCAUAGCCGGCCUGAGAGGGUGAACGGCCACAUUGGGACUGAGACACGGCCCAGACUCCUACGGGAGGCAGCAGUGGGGAAUAUUGCACAAUGGGGGAAACCCUGAUGCAGCGACGCCGCGUGAAGGAAGAAGUAUCUCGGUAUGCAAACUUCUAUCAGCAGGGAAGAGAUUGACGGUACCUGACUAAGAAGCCCCGGCUAACUACGUGCCAGCAGCCGCGGUAAUACGUAGGGGGCAAGCGUUAUCCGGAUUUACUGGGUGUAAAGGGAGCGUAGACGGAUGGACAAGUCUGAUGUGAAAGGCUGGGGCUCAACCCCGGGACUGCAUUGGAAACUGCCCGUCUUGAGUGCCGGAGAGGUAAGCGGAAUUCCUAGUGUAGCGGUGAAAUGCGUAGAUAUUAGGAGGAACACCAGUGGCGAAGGCGGCUUACUGGACGGUAACUGACGUUGAGGCUCGAAAGCGUGGGGAGCAAACAGGAUUAGAUACCCAGGUAGUCCACGCGGUAAACGAUGAAUGCUAGGUGUCGGGUGACGAAGUCAUUCGGUGCCGCCGCAAACGCAUUAAGCAUUCCACCUGGGGAGUACGUUCGCAAGAAUGAAACUCAAAGGAAUUGACGGGGACCCGCACAAGCGGUGGAGCAUGUGGUUUAAUUCGAAGCAACGCGAAGAACCUUACCAAGUCUUGACAUCCCUCUGACCGACUCAUAACCGAGUCUUUCCUUCGGGACAGAGGAGACAGGUGGUGCAUGGUUGUCGUCAGCUCGUGUCGUGAGAUGUUGGGUUAAGUCCCGCAACGAGCGCAACCCCCAUCCCCAGUAGCCAGCAGUUCGGCUGGGCACUCUGUGGAGACUGCCAGGGAUAACCUGGAGGAAGGCGGGUAUGACGUCAAAUCAUCAUGCCCCUUAUGAUUUGGGCUACACACGUGCUACAAUGGCGUAAACAAAGGGAAGCGAACCUGCGAGGGUGGGCAAAUCCCAAAAAUAACGUCCCAGUUCGGACUGUAGUCUGCAACCCGACUACACGAAGCUGGAAUCGCUAGUAAUCGCGGAUCAGAAUGCCGCGGUGAAUACGUUCCCGGGUCUUGUACACACCGCCCGUCACACCAUGGGAGUCAGUAACGCCCGAAGUCAGUGACCUAACCGCAAGGAAGGAGCUGCCGAAGGCGGGACCGAUGACUGGGGUGAAGUCGUAACAAGGUA